This 675-nucleotide ribosomal RNA is filed under the name fungal endophyte sp. E8-3172. RNAcentral describes it as "eukaryotic LSU rRNA". The stretch from base 322 to 475 matches the Rfam family "5.8S ribosomal RNA". The record is from RNAcentral. Lineage: Eukaryota; Fungi.
GUUUUUUUUCAAUUAUAGAAAUCGUGCAUACAUUUAUAUUCCACAUAUACUAUGGUACCGGUACUAUAUAUUGUAUACGUACUUCUUGGUCAAAUUAGAGGAAGUAAAAGUCGUAACAAGGUCUCCGUUGGUGAACCAGCGGAGGGAUCAUUGCUGGAACGCGCCCCGGCGCACCCAGAAACCCUUUGUGAACCUACCAUCGUUGCCUCGGUGCAGGCCGGUCCCCACGGGGGCCCCCUCAGCGAUGAGGAGCAGCCGGCCGGUGGCCCUACAAACUCUUGUCUGUGUAGUGACCCUCUGAGUGAAGACUAAAUUAAUCAAAACUUUCAACAACGGAUCUCUUGGCUCUGGCAUCGAUGAAGAACGCAGCGAAAUGCGAUAAGUAAUGUGAAUUGCAGAAUCCAGUGAAUCAUCGAAUCUUUGAACGCACAUUGCGCCCUCUGGUAUUCCGGAGGGCAUGCCUGUUCGAGCGUCAUUUCAACCCUCAAGCCCGGCUUGGUGCUGGGGCCCUGCCUCCCCCCGGGGGGCAGGCCCUGAAAUACAGUGGCGGGCUCGCCAGGACUCCGAGCGCAGUAGUGUCAAAACCUCGCCCUGGAUCGUACUGGUGCGGCCCUGCCGUGAAACCCCCAACCUCUGAAAAGUUGACCUCGGAGCAGGUAGACUGCUAGUAUUCCC